Non-coding RNA from Nomia melanderi (Alkali bee), 1485 nucleotides. The record is from RefSeq and is a predicted model, not a curated record. NCBI's taxonomy places the organism in Eukaryota, Metazoa, Arthropoda, Insecta, Hymenoptera, Halictidae.
UUAGCACCGUGAAACGUCCUUGCGGCAGCCCAUGUUGUUCCGCGGGCAGGAACCGGAAGUCAUCGUCCAGCAACAGCAUGGUCUUCCUUCUUCAUCAAGGAGACGCCGAGAACAUCUGUGCGUCGAACGAGACGUCGAUCCGCGUCUGCGGACAACCUGUCAUGAAGAAAAUUGAGAUACCACCGUGUCCUAAGUUCUGAAUAUUUCUUCAAAAGAUGAUUCGUCCUUUUAUCGUGAAACCGGAAGCAUUUUAGAUAGAGGGGAGUUGUUCCAAUGAAGCCACGAAACAAAUUCGUAGAUAAUUCCGGAGGCGACGCAUUGAAGAACAUAUAAUUCUGAUGACGUACGGGAUCCACGUCCUUGGGAUACGUCAUUACGGUGAAACGUCGCGAGAAGAAGUAAAGUAGCUGGAAGUUGGAAGAAGUAAAAGUUUCCACGUUACCGGGAAAUGUCGUUCGGAAAUUCCUUUGGAAUUCUGACCGCCCCACCCCUGAAGUUCGAGUGUAAUUUACAAGUGUGAACCCAAUAAAAUUUCAAUGCUUUAUGACGCACGACGUAUGGCUGGGAACAUCGCGCGUCGGAACACCUACUUUCACCGCGAAAUUUCUCGCGCGCUCAAUCUAACAUAUCGAGAACACAAAGUAUCCUCCGUUCGAAUCAUUCGAACGAAUGAUAAGAGCGACAACAGAUAAAAGUAAUGGAAUGUAGAGCUUCAAUGCAAGCUUCGCAGUGGCCUCGCGUUGUAGAACGUAUGGCUGGGACGUUUUACACGCGAGAAACGGCAACGAAAUCGCUUAUUCAGAAUAAAAAUCCGCUUCCACAAUUACAGGGUGUUCUACGAUGAACGACGCGACCAAAGAGCUGAUGAUUGUGCGUGCACGAUAUCAAAAAGAAACUUUGAUCUCUCACGAUGGUUCGUCGCUGAAAGGAAUAUUCGAACUUUCAAUGAUCUUUCUCCCAAAAUCCGUAAUCCACUGUCCAUAUUUUUUUUGUAUUAUUCAUAAAUCCAUUAUCGACUCUAUACAAGAAUUAUUACUGUACUACAGAAAAUAUUGCACAGCAUUGGUCACAUUAUUUUUUAAUCAUCUUCAGUCGCUUUUCCUUUCGCCACCGUAAAAAGUAUAGAGCCGAUCGCGCAGCGAGAAGCAGAAGACGCGUUCGCGAACAACGAACGGACUGCGGAUUCAUUUUACAUUUACACCAUUCGCAGACGUAUAUAACGCAAAGAAACGAACGAUUCGAAUUAAAUUUAAAAUACUUUUUUUACGUAACUAUUGUAAGUAUUGUAAUAAUUAAAAUAAAUUUCUAUACAACCCCAAUUCGUAGAAAUUGGUCCAUUAAACGUUUGUACUCGCAUAAACAUCUGUGGUCUAACAAUAAAUACGUAACAUCUAUAAUAUCUAUAUUAUCUUAAUUGUUCGCUUUGGUCACGUAAUUCAUUGCAGCACACUUUGCGUUGAUACGCGCACAAUUUCUCGGCCAGCC